AUGGGCAUAUCACGUUGAAACACCGGUUCUAAUCCGAUCAUCUAAGUUAAGCAACGUUGGGUUUGGACAGCACCUUGAUGAGUUACCGCUUGGGAAUACCAUCUGCUGUAAGC
This is a non-coding RNA of Acanthosepion pharaonis, 113 nucleotides long. Lineage: Eukaryota; Metazoa; Mollusca; Cephalopoda; Sepiida; Sepiidae. The record is from the annotation of a GenBank genome assembly.